RNAcentral lists this ribosomal RNA (253 nucleotides) under uncultured bacterium. RNAcentral's name for it is "partial 16S ribosomal RNA". It matches the Rfam family "Bacterial small subunit ribosomal RNA", at positions 524 to 776 of the family's 1533-position model. The record is from RNAcentral.
UACGUAGGGUGCGAGCGUUAAUCGGAAUUACUGGGCGUAAAGCGUGCGCAGGCGGUUGUGCAAGACAGAGGUGAAAUCCCCGGGCUUAACCUGGGAAUGGCCUUUGUGACUGCACGGCUAGAGUGUGUCAGAGGGAGGUAGAAUUCCACGUGUAGCAGUGAAAUGCGUAGAUAUGUGGAGGAAUACCGAUGGCGAAGGCAGCCCCCUGGGAUAACACUGACGCUCAUGCACGAAAGCGUGGGGAGCAAACAGG